Molecule: ribosomal RNA, 629 nt
Filed under: Koenigia forrestii
Lineage: Eukaryota; Viridiplantae; Streptophyta; Magnoliopsida; Caryophyllales; Polygonaceae
Description: eukaryotic LSU rRNA
Rfam family: 5.8S ribosomal RNA (bases 238-393)
Source: RNAcentral
GCGUAACAAGGUUUCCGUAGGCUGAUACCUGUGGAAGGAAAUCUUGUCGAAACGUUCACUAGCAGAAAGACCCGUGAACUCGUUUACAAAACACCGAGGGUCGGCGCUCGCCGCCGUCCCUCAAAUCAACGAACCCCGGCGCGGAUUGCGCCAAGGACUAUGAACAUAAGCGCCCCGCACGCCUCCAGGGUAACCUGAAGCGCGGGCGGCGACGUGUCGUUUCGAUACAAAUUAAACGACUCUCGGCAACGGAUAUCUCGGCUCUCGCAUCGAUGAAGAACGUAGCGAAAUGCGAUACUUGGUGUGAAUUGCAGAAUCCCGUGAACCAUCGAGUCUUUGAACGCAAGUUGCGCCAGAAGCCUUCGGGCCAAGGGCACGUCUGCCUGGGCGUCACACACCGCGUCGCCCUCAUCCCUUCCAAGGGUUGGGGCGGAGACUGGCCCCCCGUGCGCUCCCAGCUCGCGGUCGGCCUAAAUACGGACCCCGUGGCCGCGAAAUGCCGCGACGAUUGGUGGUGUACUUCAUGGCCUCGCGUCGCGUCUUCCGUGGCCCUCGGGUGUUCUAAGGACCCCUCAACCUUUGCGACCCCGGGUCAGGCGGGUAUUCAUCCCGCUGAGUUUAAGCAUAUC